GCCUCCACCUCUUGAGCAUUGGGGUUGCAAGUGUGUACCUCUAUGCCCAGCAUUAUGUAGUGCUAGGAUCAAACCUAGGCUUUAUGAUGCUAGGCAAGCAUAGACUGUUUCCCUAAACAAGAGGGUUUUUUUUUUUCUUAAGAUUUAUUUUACUAUGUAUACAGUGUUCUGCCUGUAUGUAUGGCCUGCAGGCCAGAAGAGAGCACCAGAUCUCAUUAUAGAUGAUUGUGAGCCACCACAUGGUUGUUGGGAAUUGAACUCAGGACCUCUGGAAGAGCAGCCAGUGCUUUUAACCUCUGAGCCAUCUCUCCGGCCCGCUUAAGGCUUUCUUUGAAAGUGCAUUUGUGCGUUUGGAUAUUUGUAACCUGAGUAUCUUUGCACACCUGAUACAAAAUGCUCUAAGUUUUGCUCCUGUGGUCUAAUAAACUGGAAGUAAAUCUAUUCAGUCUCUGGUAGACCUACUUCCUUGUAUUUCAAAUACAGGAACUUGGCUCAUCUUCAUGUAUCCACAAAAUUUCCUUUUUUUUUUUUUUCCCUUUUGAGACAGUUUUGUCAUGGAGGUCAGGGUGGCUUAGAAUGGGCGAUGUAGCCCAGGAUUGCUUCUAAUUCCUCACUUUCCUGCCUUCAUCUCCUGAACGUUGGGACUACAGGAAAUAGCCCUUCAUCUUUGUGUGCAUGCAGCCCUAACUGGAACAAAAUGCAAUCAACAUAUGUACUUAAUUUGACAAGGAGAAAGGGCCAUAAACAAGUGUAAAUUGUCACAACAGCAGCAGCUAACAGCCUUGAUGUCUGCGGUAACAAAGAAGAGAGAGCAGUCUGCUUUGCACAUCAAAGGGGACCGUCACAUCCCUCAACUGAGGAUGCGCAUGAGAUGUGGAAGAGGGUAUCUGAAGCAGGAAUCAUUGCUUCCAGGAGAUGACAUUGAAAUUCCUGCAUCAGUCAAGAGAGUUUGGAGGUCAGUUUUAACUAGCUUUGCUGCCAGGUCUUGGAGGCCUGGAGUGGGGGCCCCUGAACCCCAACUCCCUCCUGCUGAGUGUUUUCUCAAUCCAAGGCCACUCCACUUUCCUCUGUGCAUCAUCCUUUCUCGGAGAUGCAGUUUGUGUGUGACUCUCUAGAUAGCCUUCGUGUGCGUGUGCAUGUGCGUGUGUCUCCUUUGUGUGUAUGCAGGAGGCAUGGGUGUGCACCCAUGGAGGCUAGAGGUCAUUGGAGGGUACCUCCUUCUUUGACUCGCCACUCUUAGUGGUUGAGAUGCCAUCUCGCUGAACCUGGAGCUGACUGAUGGGCUGGACUAGCUGGCCAGGAAGUCCCCUGGGAUCCUCCUUUCUCCAAUCCCAACUCUAGGAUUACAGGUGCAUGUAGCCAUGCCUGCUUUUUUUAUGCGGGCACUGAGACUCAAACUCAGGUCCUCAUGCUUGCCCGAGCAGUUUACCUACUGAACCACCUCCCAGCUCUAAAUAGCUUUCUGACAUCUUUCUUUCUUUCCUU
This is a non-coding RNA of Peromyscus maniculatus bairdii (prairie deer mouse), 1485 nucleotides long. Lineage: Eukaryota; Metazoa; Chordata; Mammalia; Rodentia; Cricetidae. The record is from RefSeq and is a predicted model, not a curated record.